AUCUCUGAAGUUUAAAAAACAUUAGAUUGCAAAUCUAAAGAAAAUAAGAGAAA
RNAcentral lists this transfer RNA (53 nucleotides) under Aleuroglyphus ovatus (brown legged grain mite). Its description in RNAcentral is "tRNA-Cys". Lineage: Eukaryota; Metazoa; Arthropoda; Arachnida; Sarcoptiformes; Acaridae. The record is from RNAcentral.